Acanthopagrus latus (yellowfin seabream) is the source of this 1902-nucleotide long non-coding RNA. RefSeq lists it as uncharacterized. NCBI's taxonomy places the organism in Eukaryota, Metazoa, Chordata, Actinopteri, Spariformes, Sparidae. The transcript has 3 exons. The record is from RefSeq and is a predicted model, not a curated record.
UCAGCUGUUUCUCAAUUAAAGCUCACCUUUUGUUCCUCCUUAUCUUUGCCUCCCGUGUGUACUGCGUUUGGGUCCACCUUUCCCUUCCAUAGUUUUUCCCUUUAAACCCCAACCUGACACUGUAUAGCAAUGGUCCAAUAUGUUGGUGUCCCUGGUGGACACUUCAUAUGCUGUCUAUACUUUGGUGGUUUGUGGGUGAGAUUUGCUAUUGUAAACUCUCCAAGAAUGGCGCGCAUUUGCUCAGUUGGUAUAGUGGGCGUCCCAUGUGCAGAGGCCCUGCCCACACUGCAGCGGCCUGAGGUCCCUCCAAGGUCCGUUACAGGCUUAAGAUGUCAUGUGUAUAUAUGGACUACAACAAACAAGAAGAACUCCCUCAGGCAAUAAAAAGAGAGCUCUGUGAUGCAGUCUGUUCAGGAAACUGGAAUCCCAGCAGCUGUAGGGAGCGGUCUGAUGUGUUCACUGAGCCAGGUUUCACUGAAACAGAACGGCAGAUCUGUGAAAGUCCAAGUUUUUUGAGUACAUGGGGAUUUAUGGAAGGGCAGGUGUGGUUAAUAGAAAUGAAUAAUUAUAUAGAAAUGAAUAAUUAUUGAUAGUAAUUAAGUUAAUAAAGAUUUUUUAAUUUUUUUUUAUCAAAUCAUAAAAACGAGGCACCACCACUGGAAUCAGGGACCAAUAACCAAACCCAAAACAGUCUCAAUAAAAGUUUCACUUUAAACGUUAACAUUUGUGAGGGAAAUUAAUCCGAGCACUGACCAUCACAACCAGUAAUUACCACGAAACAUAUGCACAAAAUAAUCACAAAAGAUAUAAUAUAACUUAGUAAUGUUUGGAAUUGAUCAAAUCAGUAAUACUUCAAUAAGAAAUCCAUCAUUCAACUACAGUAGCUAAACUAUGAAACUAAAACAUUAAGAUAAACUCAAGUAACAAGUGAGUGUUCUGGUAAAAAAGACUGGUGACUUGGUGAGCAGCUGUAUCUAAUGUUCCCAACAAGUCACUCGUAAGAUUAUGUGUGUGUGUCACUUGGAAUAUAUGUGCAUACAUGUUGAUUUUCUUACUCCUAAAAUGCGUUGUGAGAUGCAAACACUCUUGGUGAGGGCUCAGUGCUCCUGCAGGAGGAUGGGUGUGAUGUUUUGACCCUGGGUCAUUAUUUUGUGUAUGUAUGUGAUGCUGCUCUGUCCCUCCUCCUCAAAGUUUGUGAGCCGUCUGCUCUGAGUGUGUGUGAAUGAUUGAUAGCAGGUUGGACCUACUGAUUGGCUGGCGCCGUUUGAUUGCUGCUCCAGGACUGGCCAGAGGCAGGAGAGAAGCCCUUAUGAACCACUGGCUGACUGCAGUCUCCCUCUCCACCCUGUCACAUCGCGAUCACGUGCCCUUCCUCGUGUGUUCCUGGUCUGACGUCAUCCCUAAUCCCUGAUUGUUUGCACCUGUGUCUCCCUCCCUCAUGUGUAUAAAGUCUUUGUCUUCCCCUGUCUGCGUCGCCUAAGUAUUUCGUCAUCUCGUCGCGUACCCAAGCCUUGAUUCACAGCCCUUGAAAUUUCGCAUCUUGUUAAGUAUUGUCUUGUUUUGUUUUUCUGUUUAUUGAUCUCUUGAGAGAGUGAUUUUGAUUUGUAAAUUUCUGGUUAGAGUUUGUGUUUUUAGUUUUGAACUUUUCAUAGUUGUUUCUUUCCUCCCUUGUGAGCGUCUUUUGUUGUACUUCAUUAUUUUGUUAGAAUAGAAUUCAUUUUCAUAGCCUUGUGCCUUCCUCUGCGGAGUGACUUUUCUUUUGUAUGUUUUUAUAUUUCAGAAAUUCAGAAUAGUGUAGGUUUUCCUCCUUCGGGAGCGUCUUUUGUUACUAAGUGUUCUGUGUUGUUCGUCCUGUCUGUCCUCGAAGAGAUUCAUAGCUUUUGAUUUAUCAUCUCCUCUGAA